UUCGUUGCGAAAAAAUCCACCCGAGUUUCGCUACCCGGCAAUAGUGCAUUCGGGUGCCGAAAUACACCCGUUUUGCAUCAUUUUUCGUGCCGGAACCGAAUGCCCAAAAACACUCCCAAACAUGUUCUAGGGUCUAAUUAGGUAGAUUGGAUGCGUUCGUUGCGAAAAAAUCCACCCGAGUUUCGCUACCCGGCAAUAGUGCAAUCGGGUGCCGAAAUGCACCCGUUUUGCAUCGUUUUUCGUGCCGGAACCGAAUGCCCAAAAAUACUCCCAAACAUGUUCUAGUGUAUAUUUAGGAAGAUUGGAUGCGUUCGUUGCGAAAAAAUCCACCCAAGUUUCGCUACCCGGCAAUAGUGCAUUCGGGUGCCGAAAUGCACCCGUUUUGCAUCGUUUUUCGUGCCGGAACCGAAUGCCCAAAAACACUCCCAAACAUGUUCUAGUGUAUAUUUAGGAAGAUUGCAUACGUUCGUUGCGAAAAAAUCCACCCGAGUUUCGCUACCCGGCAAUAGUGCAUUCGGGUGCCGAAAUGCACCCGUUUUGCAUCGUUUUUCGUGCCGGAACCGAAUGCCCAAAAACACUCCCAAACAUGUUCUAGGGUCUAAUUAGGUAGAUUGGAUGCGCUCGUUGCGAAAAAAUCCACCCGAGUUUCGCUACCCGGCAAUAGUGCAAUCGGGUGCCGAAAUGCACUCGUUUUGCAUCGUUUUUCGUGCCGGAACCGAAUGCCCAAAAACACUCCCAAACAUGUUCUAGGGUCUAAUUAGGUAGAUUGGAUGCGUUCGUUGCGAAAAAAUCCACCCGAGUUUCGCUACCCGGCAAUAGUGCAUUCGGGUGCCGAAAUGCACCCGUUUUGCAUCAUUUUUCGUGCCGGAAACGAAUGCCCAAAAACACUCCCAAACAUGUUCUAGUGUAUAUUUAGGAAGAUUGCAUGCGUUCGUUGCGAAAAAAUCCACCCGAGAUUCGCUACCCUGGCAAUAGUGCAGUCGGGUGCCGAAAUGCACCCGUUUUGCGUCAUUUUUCGUGCCGGAACCGAAUGCCCAAAAACACUCCCAAACAUGUUCUAGGGUCUAAUUAGGUAGAUUGGAUGCGUUCGUUGCGAAAAAAUCCACCCGAGUUUCGCUACCCGGCAAUAGUACAUUCGGGUGCCGAAAUGCACCCGUUUUGCAUCGUUUUUCGUGCCGGAACCGAAUGCCCAAAAAUACUCCCAAACAUGUUCUAGUGUAUAUUUAGGAAGAUUGGAUGCGUUCGUUGCGAAAAAAUCCACCCAAGUUUCGCUACCCGGCAAUAGUGCAUUCGGGUGCCGAAAUGCACCCGUUUUGCAUCGUUUUUCGUGCCGGAACCGAAUGCCCAAAAACACUCCCAAACAUGUUCUAGUGUAUAUUUAGGAAGAUUGCAUACGUUCGUUGCGAAAAAAUCCACCCGAGUUUCGCUACCCGGCAAUAGUGCAUUCGGGUGCCGAAAUGCACCUGUUUUGCAUCGUUUUUCGUGCCGGAACCGAAUGCCCAAAAACACUCCCAAACAUGUUCUAGGGUCUAAUUAGGUAGAUUGGAUGCGUUCGUUGCGAAAAAAUCCACCCGAGUUUCGCUACCCGGCAAUAGUGCAUUCGGGUGCCGAAAUGCACCCGUUUUGCAUCAUUUUUCGUGCCGGAACCGAAUGCCUAAAAACACUCCCAAACAUGUUCUAGUGUAUAUUUAGGAAGAUUGCAUGCGUUCGUUGCGAAAAAAUCCACCUGAGUUUCGCUACCCGGCAAUAGUGCAUUCGGGUGCCGAAAUGCACCCGUUUUGCAUCAUUUUUCGUGCCGGAACCGAAUGCCUAAAAACACUCCCAAACAUGUUCUAGGGUCUAAUUAGGUAGAUUGGAUGCGUUCAUUGCGAAAAAAUCCACCCGAGUUUCGCUACCCGGCAAUAGUGCAUUCGGGUGCCGAAAUGCACCCGUUUUGCAUCAUUUUUCGUGCCGGAACCGAAUGCCUAAAAACACUCCCAAACAUGUUCUAGGGUCUAAUUAGGAAGAUUGCAUGCGUUCGUUGCGAAAAAAUCCACCCGAGUUUCGCUACCCUGGCAAUAGUGCAGUCGGGUGCCGAAAUGCACCCGUUUUGCAUCAUUUUUCGUGCCGGAACCGAAUGCCCAAAAACACUCCCAAACAUGUUCUAGGGUCUAAUUAGGUAGAUUGGAUGCGUUCGUUGCGAAAAAAUCCACCCGAGUUUCGCUACCCGGCAAUAGUGCAUUCGGGUGCCGAAAUGCACCCGUUUUGCAUCAUUUUUCGUGCCGGAACCGAAUGCCCAAAAACACUCCAAACUAUGUUCUAGUGUAUAUUUAGGAAGAUUGAUGCGUUCGUUGCGAAAAAAUCCACCCGAGUAUCGCUACCCGGCAAUAGUGCAUUCGGGUGCCGAAAUGCACCCGUUUUGCAUCAUUUUUCGUGCCGGAACCGAAUGCCCAAAAACACUCCCAAACAUGUUCUAGUGUAUAUUUAGGAAGAUUGGAUGCGUUCGUUGCGAAAAAAUCCACCCGAGUUUCGCUACCCGGCAAUAGUGCAUUCGGGUGCCGAAAUGCACCCGUUUUGCAUCGUUUUUCGUGCCGGAACCGAAUGCCCAAAAACACUCCCAAACCUGUUCUAGUGUAUAUUUAGGAAGAUUGGAUGCGUUCGUUGCGAAAAAAUCCACCCGAGUUUCGCUACCCGGCAAUAGUGCAUUCGGGUGCCGAAAUGCACCCGUUUUGCAUCGUUUUUCGUGCCGGAACCGAAUGCCCAAAAACACUCCCAAACAUGUUGUAGUGUAUAUUUAGGAAGAUUGCAUGCGUUCGUUGCGAAAAAAUCCACCCGAGUUUCGCUACCCCGGCAAUAGUGCAUUCGAGUGCCGAAAUGCACCCGUUUUGCAUCGUUUUUCGUGCCGGAACCGAAUGCCCAAAAACACUCCCAAACAUGUUCUAGUGUAUAUUUAGGAAGAUUGGAUGCGUUCGUUGCGAAAAAAUCCACCCGAGUUUCGCUACCCGGCAAUAGUGCAUUCGGGUGCCGAAAUGCACCUGUUUUGCAUCGUUUUUCGUGCCGGAACCGAAUGCCCAAAAACACUCCCAAACAUGUUCUAGGGUCUAAUUAGGUAGAUUGGAUGCGUUCGUUGCGAAAAAAUCCACCCGAGUUUCGCUACCCGGCAAUAGUGCAUUCGGGUGCCGAAAUGCACCCGUUUUGCAUCAUUUUUCGUGCCGGAAACGAAUGCCCAAAAACACUCCCAAACAUGUUCUAGUGUAUAUUUAGGAAGAUUGCAUGCGUUCGUUGCGAAAAAAUCCACCCGAGAUUCGCUACCCUGGCAAUAGUGCAGUCGGGUGCCGAAAUGCACCCGUUUUGCAUCAUUUUUCGUGCCGGAACCGAAUGCCCAAAAACACUCCCAAACAUGUUCUAGGGUCUAAUUAGGUAGAUUGGAUGCGUUCGUUGCGAAAAAAUCCACCCGAGUUUCGCUACCCGGCAAUAGUGCAUUCGGGUGCCGAAAUGCACCCGUUUUGCAUCGUUUUUCGUGCCGGAACCGAAUGCCCAAAAACACUCCCAAACAUGUUCUAGUGUAUAUUUAGGAAGAUUGAUGCGUUCGUUGCGAAAAAAUCCACCCGAGUUUCGCUACCCGGCAAUAGUGCAUUCGGGUGCCGAAAUGCACCCGUUUUGCAUCGUUUUUCGUGCCGGAACCGAAUGCCCAAAAACACUCCCAAACAUGUUCUAGGGUCUAAUUAGGUAGAUUGGAU
Molecule: long non-coding RNA, 3719 nt
Filed under: Setaria viridis
Lineage: Eukaryota; Viridiplantae; Streptophyta; Magnoliopsida; Poales; Poaceae
Description: long non-coding RNA (SVIR_LNC001885)
Source: RNAcentral